GGGUCUACCCAUUGGUCAGGCUUAAUUGUCUGCACUGGUGAGAUGGAUCUCUACCUUCUGAGGAACUUUCAUGCCAUUUAUUUGGUGUGAUGGGAAAUCAGGACUGUUACUUUGAAAAAAUUAGAGUGUUUAAAGCAGGCGUCCGUCUGAAUACAUUAGCAUGGAAUAAUAAAAUAGGACGGUUUGGUUCUAUUUUGUUGGUUUCUAGGAUCGAUGUAAUGAUUAAUAGGGAUAGUUG
This 238-nucleotide ribosomal RNA is filed under the name uncultured Diversispora. Its description in RNAcentral is "partial 18S ribosomal RNA". The stretch from base 48 to 238 matches the Rfam family "Eukaryotic small subunit ribosomal RNA", at positions 693 to 884 of the family's 1831-position model. The record is from RNAcentral. Lineage: Eukaryota; Fungi; Glomeromycota; Glomeromycetes; Diversisporales; Diversisporaceae.